RNAcentral lists this long non-coding RNA (2749 nucleotides) under Marmota monax (woodchuck). Lineage: Eukaryota; Metazoa; Chordata; Mammalia; Rodentia; Sciuridae. The record is from RNAcentral.
UUUAAUUCUGCUCCUUCAUUUCUAGGUGGCUGAGGAGCCUCCCUGAACUACCUCACUUCCAUCUCCAGCUCCAACUCCACCCAGCCAGCCCUUUUCACCUCUCCAAACACCUGCUUUUCAGUAAGAAGCCCCACCCCACCCAGAACAUGGAGUUCUUUCCAGUCUGGGAGACGCACCUUGGAGCGAGGGAGGGCUGUCACAUUUGGAAAAGAGGAGGAGGAAGAAGAUGACUAUUUUAUUGUUCCACUCAUGUACUCUGACUCCCACCUUUGUCAAAUAGCUGAUGGAGCAGCUUUUGAAAAUAGUGUAAAAUGAAACCUUGCUGCCCUGAUUUGGUCAGCCUUUGUGAACUGUCCCCUGCAACUUGGCCCCUCUCCUUCAACAACACCACACAUUGGCGGGUGGGGGGAGGUGGUGGUGGCAGGCACUAUGCUCCGCUCAGGGGCUGGAGUUCAUGCUUCACUGAGGGCGACAGGGAUGCUUUAGAUGAUAGUGAGUGGUGGAAAUAGUCACUCUCCCUUCUGAGAAUUGGAAACGACAUCCUAUUUAAAACAAUGGUUCUUGGCGUUUACCUGCUUUCCUAAAGAGGUCCCACCUGCCUGUCCUCUUGAGACCUCCUGGGGUGCACAGGAGGAGAGUGGAGAGUGUUCCAUUUCUGUGGACCAAGAAAUCCCAUCAUAUCACACUCCCUGUCCACUGGGAUCCCCAAGAUGACAUCAGUGGGCAGGAUGGCAGGAGAGCUUGCCCUGUAGGACAUUUUUCUUCAAGGAGACAUAGCCUGUGGCUCAACAAAGGCUUCUGGGAGGUGAGUGGAGUUCAGGAUAUGCUGGUGAGCCCAUGGGACGGUCACUCCUGUUGUGGCUACACUGGAGUUGAGCAAUGGUCUUAAUGUAGACAGACAACUGAAGAGUUCCUUAGUUAAUUUUUCAUGAAAGGGUAUAAUUGGAAAUUUAUAUCCAAGUCGUUGAUUACCAGUUAACAAUAAAAAGGAACAAAGGGUUGAUAUUUGCAAAAAUUUGGGUGGAUCUGAAGGUGACUAUGCUGAAUGAAAAGAGCCAGUCUCGAAAGAUUGCAUGCUACAUAUUGUAGGAUUCCAUUUUUUGUUUGUUUUCUACAUUAAAUUCUAUGAAAUAAUGUCUCUUUACAAAACAAUCUGUGAAUGAAACAAACUUGAUUUUUAAAGGCAAAAGGUAUAAGGAGAGCUGCUACAAAACCCACCAGUCACCAAACUGAAUACUCUUACUGGUUUUAUAUCACAAAAUGAAGUUAAGCUCUAAUCUGAUCCCAGUGUUGAACUCACCUGAUAUGCCUUCUUUGUAGGAUUUCAUUUUCUUGGUUGUUAGUUUUGUUUGUUUGUUUGUUUGUUUGUUUUUGGUAUGGGGGAUUGAACCCAGGGGUACUCUACCACUAAGUCACAUCCCCAGUCCUUUUUUUUUUGUUUUUUUUUUUUUUUUUUUUUUUUUUUUUUUUUUUUUUUUUUUUUUUUUUUUUUUUUUUUUUUUUUUUUUAAUACACCUUCUCACUAAGUUGCUGAGGCUGCUGUCCAAUUCAUGAUCCUCCUGCCUCAGGCUCCUGAGCCGCUGGGAUUACAGGCAUGGGCCACUACACCCAGCCCUGUUGCAUUCUUGAAAUGCAGAGAUUCUGGAGAUGAAGAACCCCAUUAGUGACAGGAAUUAGGGAUUGUGAGGAAAGACUGGGGAAGGCCACGGAAGACCAGUACUAGGAAACCCUGUGGUGAUGAAGCAAUUAGGGAUCUUGAAUGUGGUUAUGCACUGCUGCAUAGGUGAUAAAAUUGUAUAAAGCCACACACACACACACACACACACACACACGAGUACCUGUAAAACUGGUAGCCCAAAUUAGCUUUGAAUUGUACCAAUAUCAAUUUCCUGGUUUUGAUAGUGCACUAUCAUUAUACAAGGUGGCAGGGUGAAGAGUGUGUGGGGACUUCCUUGUAACAUUUUUAUGGUGGUAAAAUACCUGUAACAUAAACUUUACCAUUUUAAUUAUUUUUUACAUACACAGUUUGGUGGAGCUAAAACUUGGAUCUUAAGUAUUCCAUAGAAGCCAUGUGUUGAAGGCUUGGAGUGCUAUUGGGAGGUGGUGGAACAUUUAGGAAUUUAGGUGACUAAGGGUGUGCCCUUGAAGGGGACAUGGGGACUUGGGCCCCUGCCUGUUUCUCUCUUUGAUUCCUGGCCGCCUUGAGUUUAUCUGUUUCCUUCACCAUGUGCUCCUUACACAGGUCCAAAAGCAAUGGAACCAGUGAUCAUGGACUAAGACCUCUGAAGUCUGGGAGCCCAAAUAAGACUUUCUGCCUUAUAAGUUGAUUCUUUCUAGUAUUUUGUCACAGUAAUGGAAAGCUGACUAACAGGUGGGAUUUAUUACUUUACAUUAUGGUACAAUAGACUUGACCUUCCACCUCUAGAACUUUUUAUCAUCCCACACUGAAACUCCAAACCCAUUAAACAACUCCCUAAUCUCUCUCCCCCAACCCCUGAAAACCACCAUUCUACUUUCCAUUUAUUUGAAUUUGACUAUUCUAGAUAUCUCAUAUAAAUGACAUCAUACAAUAUUUGUUGAUUUAUGACUGGAUUGUCUCCCUUAGCUGAAUGUCUGAGGGGUUCAUCCAUCAGAAUUUCCUUCCUUUUUAAGACUGAAUAACAUCCCGUAUUCUGUUUGUCCACUCAUUUAUUGGUGGCAAUUUUAGUUUCCACCUUUUAGAUGCUGUUAUCCUCUCAAAUUGUUUUUU